ACGCUGGCGGCGUGCUUAACACAUGCAAGUCGAACGAUGAAGCCUAGCUUGCUAGGUGGAUUAGUGGCGAACGGGUGAGUAAUACGUGAGUAACCUACCUUUAACUCUGGGAUAAGCCUGGGAAACUGGGUCUAAUACCGGAUACGACCAAUCUCCGCAUGGGGUGUUGGUGGAAAGCGUUAUGUAGUGGUUAUAGAUGGGCUCACGGCCUAUCAGCUUGUUGGUGAGGUGACGGCUCACCAAGGCGACGACGGGUAGCCGGCCUGAGAGGGUGACCGGCCACACUGGGACUGAGACACGGCCCAGACUCCUACGGGAGGCAGCAGUGGGGAAUAUUGCACAAUGGGCGCAAGCCUGAUGCAGCGACGCCGCGUGAGGGAUGACGGCCUUCGGGUUGUAAACCUCUGUUAGCAGGGAAGAAGAGAAAUUGACGGUACCUGCAGAGAAAGCGCCGGCUAACUACGUGCCAGCAGCCGCGGUAAUACGUAGGGCGCGAGCGUUGUCCGGAAUUAUUGGGCGUAAAGAGCUUGUAGGCGGUUUGUCGCGUCUGCUGUGAAAGGCCGGGGCUUAACCCCGUGUAUUGCAGUGGGUACGGGCAGACUAGAGUGCAGUAGGGGAGACUGGAAUUCCUGGUGUAGCGGUGGAAUGCGCAGAUAUCAGGAGGAACACCGAUGGCGAAGGCAGGUCUCUGGGCUGUAACUGACGCUGAGAAGCGAAAGCAUGGGGAGCGAACAGGAUUAGAUACCCUGGUAGUCCAUGCCGUAAACGUUGGGCACUAGGUGUGGGGGACAUUCCACGUUUUCCGCGCCGUAGCUAACGCAUUAAGUGCCCCGCCUGGGGAGUACGGCCGCAAGGCUAAAACUCAAAGAAAUUGACGGGGGCCCGCACAAGCGGCGGAGCAUGCGGAUUAAUUCGAUGCAACGCGAAGAA
Molecule: ribosomal RNA, 930 nt
Filed under: uncultured bacterium
Lineage: Bacteria
Description: bacterial SSU rRNA
Rfam family: Bacterial small subunit ribosomal RNA
Source: RNAcentral